Molecule: long non-coding RNA, 1513 nt
Organism: Armigeres subalbatus
Lineage: Eukaryota; Metazoa; Arthropoda; Insecta; Diptera; Culicidae
Exons: 2
Source: RefSeq, a predicted model, not a curated record
AAAAAAGUCCAAUAGAAUUACAAUAGAAAUAAUUGUAACAAUACGAUAAAUUUUAUUGUAUUUACAAUAAUCUCUAUUGUUGCUCACAAAACAAUUAAGAAUAUUGUUUCCCACCAUAAAUCCUAUUGUAAAUGGCAGUUUUACAAUAAAAAAUAGGGGUUGUUAGUUACCGUAACAAUAAAAAAAUCGUUUUUUUCUCGAACAAAUUUUUGCCAUUACUAUAGAAUUUAUUGUUAUUCUAUUGUCAACAUUUUUCUGUCAAUAGAUUUUAUUGUAAGUUUAUUGGAACAACAAUAAGGCAAUUUAAUUGGUACAAUAGAAGAACAAUAGAAUUGAAUGUUCAUCAAUAAAAUGUAUUGUAAUUUUAUGAUAUUUUAAUGUAAUUCUAUUGUAUUUUCUAUUCGGGCGGUGCCCGCUAGAGCCCGAAAUAUUCAUGAAUUUCUCGCGAAAGAAAAUUCCACUGUUUUUAUUUUGUUAUUAUAGUUAUUCCAAGGGAAGGUCUUCCAGGAAUGCCUCAGAAGGUUCCUUUAGUAAUUGUUCAGUAUGUUCUUCAAGUAGUUCCUCCAGAAAAGCUCCAGCAAGUUUAUCUUUUUUGUCGUUCAUCAAAAUGAUUUGUUUUGGAAAUUCAUCUUGGAUCCCUCCGGGAAUUCCCCACACUGGUAAAACUGCAAUGAUUUAUUGAAUUUGAUUCUACAUAUAGAUUAUAUAAAAGAAUCAAAACAUAAAUUCAAUUUGUGGUUUCGUUGCUCUUCAUUUAUAUCGCACAUAUUGGUUAUGUGUGAUAGCACUUAGUCAAAAUUCAUUAAUCUUCACACAUAGAACGAAUACAAAGCUGGCAAUUGAAGAUCAGAGCUAAAAAAAUGGCGUCCGAGGCAGUCUGCGAAAAUUUUGUUGCAGAGGUUAGCUCACUUCGGAUUGUUUUCAAGCAGUUUUAUAAUUCUUUGAAGGGGUAAGUUUUAUUAAGCUUGUUUUAAAGUUGGUUCAUAACUCAAUGUUAUUUAUAGUAACGAUCUCGGUAACGAUACAAUAUUGCGGCAUCCUUAUUCGAUAAUAAUCUUCCUCUUGCUCUUCCGGAGGCAGUGACGAAAUCUUUCGACAGGAACAGGCAAUACGGCGUGGCGUAAUCCAACGAACAUAUUAUGACAUCGAAGAAAAAUUCGAAAAUGUAUUUUCCCAAUGCGGAUAUCGGAACUUUAUCCCAAUGCAAAGACGCGAUUCCUGAAGCCUCCAGCAAGUAUCAUUUAAAAAGUGUGCAAUUGAGCUUGGCAACUCCAGCUAAAGUAUGUGCUGCACACUGAAGGUUUCCAGUCUGGGAACUGUUAUUGGAUCGGAGGAGCAGCAGUACUUGCAGUCGAAGACUUGGAGUCCACUGUCUUGGGGAGCGACGAGGUAACAACAGAAGAUCGAUCGGAACAUCCAUCUGUACUCAUCUAUAAUUCAACUAUACCAUGUUAAUGCAUAUAUAGAAGAUUAUUAUUUAUAAUAUAAAUGGUUUUUCUUAUUUCUAUACAUA